GACUAAGUACUAACUUGUACUUUAGAUAGACUAAUAUACGAAAGUAGGGUGGCGCGACGGUGCGUAACGCGUAGGUAAUCUCGCCUGAGGUCUGACAUAACCCGUCGAAAGGCGGGCUAACAUCAGAUGAUAUAUAAUCACGACAUCGUGGAAAUAUCAAAUCUUCGGAGCCUUGGGAUGAGCCUGCGUCUGAUUAGGUAGUUGGCGGAGUAAUAGCCCACCAAGCCUACGAUCAGUAGCUGGUCUGAGAGGAUGAUCAGCCACACUGGAACUGAGACACGGUCCAGACUCCUACGGGAGGCAGCAGUAAGGAAUAUUGCUCAAUGGGGGGAAACCCUGAAGCAGCAACGCCGCGUGAAGGAUGAAAUACUUUUGUAUGUAAACUUCUGUAAGAUGGGAAAAAUAUUCUCCUCGGGAGAAUUGAUUGUACCAUCAGAGUAAGCCCCGGCUAACUACGUG
Molecule: ribosomal RNA, 459 nt
Filed under: uncultured bacterium
Lineage: Bacteria
Description: bacterial SSU rRNA
Rfam family: Bacterial small subunit ribosomal RNA
Source: RNAcentral